GGGCUUUACUUCCUCUUUAAAAGCUCAACUAAUGCAAAUUUGAAUGAUGGGUAUGGUGUUUUUGAUAUUGACUACUCUUUCCUUUAGUGUUGUGAAGAACUGUCAUACUUAGUCAACUUUCUUCCACUUAUUUUUGAAAGCUGUAACUUUUUCUACAUCAUACGCUAUGUUCUCAUUAUCGCUUGCUUUGUUCCUUGUCAGAAGCCGCACUGAUAAUCCCAUGAAGCACAUAGACUGUCAUCCAGAUGGAUCCACACCUUAUUUUCUUACUGUCGUGUCAUAUAUUCUUCUUGUACAAUACGGAUUGAUUAUAAUUACAGGAGGCUUCCUACAACGUGUAUUUUCUCACUAAAAGGGCUCUUGCUAAUUGCUGUCUCUGACAGGGGAGGAAUUGUUUACCGUUCCCUUAAGGACUGGCGAGAUAAAUUUGUAAUUUUAAUGAGUUUUAGUUAAGUGUGCUCAUCCCAUUAGAAAAGCAAAGCUGGACUCCAGUCAAAUAUAAUCGCAUAAAUGUUUUGUUUUUUUUACGGUACCUGAAUUUGACCUGGUAGCAGCUGCUUGUAGUCCCUGUACAGCAAAGCUUAGACUAGGAGAGAGGAGAAGAAGCACAAAGAGCCAAUCAGUGACUCACCUGUUGAUGGUAUCCCGCUCAUCAGUCCUGCUUACUUAAGCCGUCCAGCCCAGAUCUUCUUUGCCUUCGCCUGGUCAACAUCACAGAGACUCUCCCCUCUGUGCCUGUUAAAGACUAGCUUGGCUGACAUCCCUUCUGGUUCCAGAUCCUGCUUGCUGUUCCACUACGCUGAAUCUCUGGUUUCCUGAUAUCCGGGCCUCUUCUGAAGUACGCUGAUCCCUGGCUUUCUGACUUCCUGGCAUGUCUGACAAUCGGUUCAGGUUACCAAACUUUGGCUACAUUUUGACUAUGUUUGUUCUAUUUACUUUUAUUAUUAUUAAACAAGUGUGAUUUAACUGUA
This is a long non-coding RNA of Rana temporaria (common frog), 971 nucleotides long. RefSeq lists it as uncharacterized. The transcript has 2 exons. The record is from RefSeq and is a predicted model, not a curated record. Lineage: Eukaryota; Metazoa; Chordata; Amphibia; Anura; Ranidae.